Molecule: ribosomal RNA, 253 nt
Filed under: uncultured bacterium
Lineage: Bacteria
Description: partial 16S ribosomal RNA
Rfam family: Bacterial small subunit ribosomal RNA
Source: RNAcentral
GACGUAGGAUGCAAGCGUUGUCCGGAUUUAUUGGGCGUAAAGAGUUCGUAGGUGGUUUGUUAAGUCUGAUGUUAAAGACCGAGGCUCAACCUCGGGACUGCAUUGGAUACUGGCAGACUGGAGUGCAGUAGAGGCAAGUGGAAUUCCCAGUGUAGCGGUGAAAUGCGUAGAUAUUGGGAAGAACACCAGUGGCGUAAGCGACUUGCUGGGCUGUAACUGACGCUGAGGAACGAAAGCCAGGGGAGCAAAUGGG